UGACAGUGACAAAAAGGAAGCAGCCUUCUCUAGCCCACCCAAGUUUCCAUCAAAGGAGCAAGCCUAUGUCAGUAAGAAGAAAGCUGGCUAACCCUCCCACCCCUUGUUUAACUCCUCCAGCCCAUCCCACAUCAUUGUAGAGUGAAGAGACUGCGGUUAAUAUUCAGAAAGAGGCGCAGAGAACUGAAGGCUUUCCUGACUUGACACCGAAUAAUAAG
Non-coding RNA from Misgurnus anguillicaudatus (oriental weatherfish), 218 nucleotides. The record is from RefSeq and is a predicted model, not a curated record. Lineage: Eukaryota; Metazoa; Chordata; Actinopteri; Cypriniformes; Cobitidae.